AUGAAGACGUGUAAGACGGUGUCUACAUGCACCCCAGUGGAGGAGGCUCAACGUACGCAUGUGUUUGAUAUCUUGGGUUAUAGCAAGCACAAGGGCAUGGGCCAUGGCGUGGAUGGCCGCAUACGCUCAGGGGUUUUCUCCGUCGGCGGCCACGACUGGGUGAUCUUCUUCUUCCCCGACGGGUAUAGAGGACAUGGUCUAGAUUACAUAUCGGUUUUCCUCAUGCUUUCGAGCAACAACGCUAAGGUUCGGGCGUCCUGCGACAUGAGGCUGGUGGACCGGUACACCGGAUUCUCAUCUUCGGUGCAUAAAACAGGACCUAGGAUUUUCAAUUCUGGUGAUAUUAGUAAGUUUGCUCCACAGUCUAAUUGUUUCAUAAGGCACAGUGAGAUCGAGGGAUCCGCAUACCUUAGGGAUGAUUGCCUGACGAUCGAAUGCGUCGUCACUGUUUUCAACAAGCCACAUGUUACCCAAACAAAACCAUUCCCUAAAAUCGACAUGCCACCAGCUGACAUGGCUGAGCAUGUUAGCAAGUUGCUUGAAGAAAAGCAGGGAUUUGAUGUCAGCUUCAUCGUCGAAGGAGAGACCAUUGAAGCGCAUAGGUUUGUUCUCGCUAUGCGCUCGCCUGUUUUCAAAGCAGAGCUCUAUGGGUCGAUGCAGGAGGCGAGGCCGGGGCAAUGCAUAACCAUCAUGGACAUGCAACCUGAUGUUUUCAAGGCCCUACUCCAUUUCAUCUAUACGGACUGUUUGCCUAGCGGUGAGGAUACCGAGAUGGUCCGGCUUUUACUAGUGGCUGCGGACAGAUAUGCAAUGGACAGGCUCAAGCUGGUUUGCCAAAGCAUCUUGUGCGAGGAUCUGAACAAGGACACCGUGGCAAUCACAUUGGCUUUAGCUGACCAACAUAAUUGCCACCGGCUUAAGAAUGCUUGCCUUGAAUUUAUCGAAUUAUCAAAUUUCACGGAUGCUCUGGUGGCUACACGACGGUUAAAGGAUAUCAAGAAGACUUGCCCAUCUUUCAUAGUGGACGAAUUGGAGAAGAGAACAAAGCGUCGUAGAGCAUGA
RNAcentral lists this ribosomal RNA (1062 nucleotides) under Triticum aestivum (bread wheat). RNAcentral's name for it is "partial small subunit ribosomal RNA". Lineage: Eukaryota; Viridiplantae; Streptophyta; Magnoliopsida; Poales; Poaceae. The record is from RNAcentral.